This 446-nucleotide ribosomal RNA is filed under the name uncultured bacterium. RNAcentral describes it as "bacterial SSU rRNA". It matches the Rfam family "Bacterial small subunit ribosomal RNA", at positions 330 to 793 of the family's 1533-position model. The record is from RNAcentral.
ACCAGACUCCUACGGGAGGCAGCAGUGGGGAAUAUUGCACAAUGGGGGAAACCCUGAUGCAGCGACGCCGCGUGAAGGACGAAGUAUUUCGGUACGUAAACUUCUAUCAGCAGGGAAGAAAAUGACGGUACCUGACCAAGAAGCCCCGGCUAACUACGUGCCAGCAGCCGCGGUAAUACGUAGGGGGCAAGCGUUAUCCGGAUUUACUGGGUGUAAAGGGAGCGUAGACGGCCAUGCAAGUCUGAUGUGAAAACCCGGGGCUCAACCCCGGAACUGCAUUGGAAACUGGCGGGCUGGAGUGCCGGAGAGGCAGGCGGAAUUCCUAGUGUAGCGGUGAAAUGCGUAGAUAUUAGGAGGAACACCAGUGGCGAAGGCGGCCUGCUGGACGGUAACUGACGCUGAGGCUCGAAAGCGUGGGGAGCAAACAGGAUUAGAUACCCCAGUAC